Molecule: ribosomal RNA, 477 nt
Filed under: uncultured bacterium
Lineage: Bacteria
Description: bacterial SSU rRNA
Rfam family: Bacterial small subunit ribosomal RNA
Source: RNAcentral
GUUUGAUCCUGGCUCAGGAUGAACGCUGGCGGCGUGCCUAAUACAUGCAAGUCGAACGAGGUGCUUUUGUAGCAAUACGAAAGUAUCCUAGUGGCGAACGGGUGAGUAACGCGUUGGUGACCUACCCCAAAGUGUGGGAUAACAGUUCGAAAGAACUGCUAAUACCGCAUGUGGUUAUCGGAUUUAGAAACUGAUAACUAAAGGAGCAAUUCGCUUUGGGAGGGACCUGCGUCCCAUCAGCUAGUUGGUGAGGUAAUGGCUCACCAAGGCUACGACGGGUAGGGGACCUGAGAGGGUGACCCCCCACAAUGGAACUGAAACACGGUCCAUACACCUACGGGUGGCAGCAGUAGGGAAUAUUGCACAAUGGGCGAAAGCCUGAUGCAGCAACGCCGCGUGUGCGAUGAAGGCCCUCGGGGUCUAAAGCACGUUUUCUGAGAGAUGAGCAAAGGACAGUAUCUCAGGAAUAAGUCUCGG